This 253-nucleotide ribosomal RNA is filed under the name uncultured bacterium. Its description in RNAcentral is "partial 16S ribosomal RNA". It matches the Rfam family "Bacterial small subunit ribosomal RNA", at positions 524 to 776 of the family's 1533-position model. The record is from RNAcentral.
UACGUAGGGUGCAAGCGUUGUCCGGAAUUAUUGGGCGUAAAGAGCUCGUAGGCGGUUUGUCGCGUCUGCUGUGAAAACCCGAGGCUCAACCUCGGGCCUGCAGUGGGUACGGGCAGACUAGAGUGCGGUAGGGGAGAUUGGAAUUCCUGGUGUAGCGGUGAAAUGCGCAGAUAUCAGGAGGAACACCGGUGGCGAAGGCGGAUCUCUGGGCCAUUACUGACGCUGAGGAGCGAAAGCGUGGGGAGCGAACAGG